AAUCCCAAAAAGUGCGUCGUAGUCCGGAUUGGAGUCUGCAACUCGACUCCAUGAAGUCGGAAUCGCUAGUAAUCGUGGAUCAGAAUGCCACGGUGAAUACGUUCCCGGGCCUUGUACACACCGCCCGUCACACCAUGGGAGUGGGCUGCAAAAGAAGUAGGUAGUUUAACCUUCGGGGGGACGCUUACCACUUUGUGGUUCAUGACUGGGGUGAAGUCGUAACAAGGUAGCGCUAGGGGAACC
RNAcentral lists this ribosomal RNA (243 nucleotides) under Vibrio alginolyticus. RNAcentral describes it as "partial 16S ribosomal RNA". It matches the Rfam family "Bacterial small subunit ribosomal RNA", at positions 1270 to 1512 of the family's 1533-position model. Lineage: Bacteria; Pseudomonadati; Pseudomonadota; Gammaproteobacteria; Vibrionales; Vibrionaceae. RNAcentral also lists the same sequence under 2 other names. The record is from RNAcentral.